UACAGAGGGUGCGAGCGUUGUCCGGAAUCACUGGGCGUAAAGGGCGCGUAGGCGGCUUGAUAAGCGUGCGGUGAAAGCCCGGGGCUCAACCCCGGGUCGGCCGUGCGAACUGUCGAGCUGGAGCACUGUAGAGGCAGGUGGAAUUCCGGGUGUAGCGGUGGAAUGCGCAGAUAUCAGGAGGAACACCGGUGGCGAAGGCGGGACUCUGGGCCGAUACUGACGCUGAGGAGCGAAAGCGUGGGGAGCAAACAGG
Molecule: ribosomal RNA, 253 nt
Filed under: uncultured bacterium
Lineage: Bacteria
Description: partial 16S ribosomal RNA
Rfam family: Bacterial small subunit ribosomal RNA
Source: RNAcentral